Molecule: long non-coding RNA, 9629 nt
Filed under: Equus caballus (horse)
Lineage: Eukaryota; Metazoa; Chordata; Mammalia; Perissodactyla; Equidae
Description: lncRNA (ENSECAG00000053607.1)
Source: RNAcentral
UUCUACCCUCUGGACAACAUACCUGUUGGAUGUACUGCCUUGUCUUACAUGAUGAAGCAGCCCAGACCGAAUUUGCCUUAAGACAGAUAGGAGUAACGCCUUCUGAGUUAUGUAAUUGGGCAGGAAGGAUGGAUUGUUCUCGGGCACCCACAUCCAAUGGAACUAUCUAGAAGCCACACAAAACAUGUUUUAGACAGCCGGCGUUCCAUUUCUCUUUGUAGAGUGCCUAGCAAAGACCUCAAAUCGCAGGAUCAAGACAUGGAGACUGAAUGACAUAUGGAGAAAAAAAAUCGACACACAAUUGUCAACACACUACAAGGCAGCAGGGUGACAAAAGCCCGAGAUGAUAAACAGGCGAAAUUUUGCAUAAUUAGGUCUUCGAAUUUCUUCAGUUGUGAAAUAUGUGUGACUCACGUGGCUGGCGAGGCUGGGCGUGGGUUCGGAAACGCUCACCUCUCUUAACCUGAGUGUGGGAGAAGCCAUCCUGGCUCCUUGUUUGCCAGGCCCCUGCUGUUUGCUCUGCCGGGUAUUAUUAACCAGCAGGUUUGACAGGAGUUCCUUGUUUUUCCGCACUGAUAUGAUUUAUUUUCUGAGUUGCCUGAACAAACAGGUUGUUUGGGCCAUUGUGUGGAGCAGCCUGGAGGUGGUUUUUGGAGAAGAGAGAGCUCUCUUCUGAGGAAGAAGUAUUACCCGGUUGCAGUAACUGUUGAGAAGUGAUUGUCUGGAAGUCCACAUGUCGGUGAAGCCAUGGAGGGCGGGGAAGGAACCCAUCCGAUUGAUGUGAAUGGUGGAGUGUCACUCAUUGGACCAGCUGCCCCUGAAAAAAUUCUCAGCCAACACUUCCAAACCUCUCUCCUCGCCCAGCCACCCCUACGAGAUUGGGAGGGAUGCGGUUUACACCGGAACCUUUGGCGCUUAUUAUGAAGACAUCAAAAAAUAUUUUAUCUGUGGGCAGUGAAAUGAAGUAAGAAACGAGGCUGUUUGUAGGAAAGCAUCAGCCAUUAAAUGAUCAAACCUGGAAUCAGAGCGCCCGGCUCUGGCAUCAUUAGCUUCAUGGCCUCAGACCCUCUCUGAGUCUCAGCCCUCGCCUGUAAAGGGCUGCCAGGGCAUUUAAAUAACUUGCUUGAAACAGCUGGGAUAGCGUCUAGUUCUCGAAGUGUGGUCCCCAAACCAGCAGCAUCAGCAGCAUCUGAGAACUUGUUAGAAACGCACCUUUCCAGCCCCACCUCACCUGCUGAAUCAGAGCGGGCAGGGAGGAAGCGACAGCAAUCUGUUUUUAUAAGCCCUCCAGAUGAGAAAACCGAGACUGAGAGGUGAAUGAGUUGCCCAGGUCAUGUAGGAACACAGUGGAAGUGUGAGGACCAGAGCCCAGCUCCUCCAACCUGCGUCCAGUGCUCCUCUGUGCUACUCGAUUGACCGCAGGUCCCAGUCUGUCCGUGAGACCUCGAGGCAUUGAUGACUGCAGAGCAUGGAGCCACUUUGGUUCACUCUCUUGUUUUAUGAUGGAAACUUAAUCAGUUUGUGAGCUCAUUCUCCACCUGUCUUCAACUUCUGUCUCUACAUCACAUCCAGCUGGUGGUGUGCUGGAUCUCCUUGGAGAAGACAAGACACGCAGUGCCCUGUGCCCAUGCAGGGGACUACACUUCAUCUACCACUGGCCCCCAGUUAAUCUGAGUGGACGGUAACUUCCUUCCAUGCUAAAAAGUGGAAGAUGAUGCCUGUGUCUUACUAUUGAUGUAAACAAGAUGCCAUGGGUGGACAGCGUCCCUUGAGAGCGAUGCAGAAGGGCCUGAGGGGGUUGGUAAGGAGUUACUCUCCCAGGCUCCUUCUUCUUCCCAACUUGUGCAUAAGCUGAGCCCUUAAGGUGCCCAAGGACGUCAGCUUACUCCACAGCAGGUGCAAACGUUGAAGAUCACAGCAAGCGUCGACCUCCAAUAGCUAUCUAAGUUCCACGAUCUGUCAACCUGACCUUGUCCUUUCUUCAGUGUUUACACGGUCCUGGAAAAGAAAAUGUUUCCAUUACAAAAAGGAAAUUACAAAACAAUGUACCCUGUAUAGAGUAAUUAAAACAUUGCAUCAUUUUUUCGAUAGUUUAACAAUUUCAAUCUUAAACGUUGGCCGGGGACAUUUAACGUCAUGUUAAAUGUGAACAUUUUGGGUCUUUUAUUUUAGGAUUGACUUUGGAGAGAGUAAGAUAUGGAAAAGGAGUGUUUCCAUCCAGUUGUGGCCUUUUGGUAUAUACCUAAAUUUUGUAGAUCUUAUGUGACAAUUGAUUUCUGCUCUAUCUAGCUUGUAUGAUGAGAUAAGUUAUUUUUAAAGGCACAUCUGUUUUCUAAUUUAAGCCUAAUUUGGGUUUCUUAAGAAUUGUCCUUUAAGAAUUGCCCUUCUUUCAGUGUCAUAUCUAUCCAACAGUUGUUAUAUCCAGAAUAGAAGAAAAAAGGAUCUUAAAGGCAAGAUUGUUACUUGAAAAUGCAUGAAGGCUCCCUGUGGCCUGCCAUUGCUUUGCAGACAAGAGGGUGGUGUGAGAUGCCCUCUCAUUCUAAAAGGCUCUCUGGAGGGGGCUGUCAUUCACAGCUACCUGGGUGGGCUGGCGCAGGACACACACUGCGACACAGACCAUGUAGGAAAGAAGAACUACGGCUGGAGCAUGCACUGCCAGCAUUUCAACCAUCUCCGACUGCCAAAGCUUUCCCAGAGAAAAGACUGAACACAUUUUUCAGCAGUGGCUGUGAUGCUGCUUAUUUCGCUUUUUAAAACUAGCCAUUGUUGGUGCCUGCUCUGAGCAACUCCGUAACUUACUGGAAGUGUCCCCAGGCUAGUCACGCAGCCCACCCUCCUUUGUAUGCACUCCAGGAGGACAAGGGGCGUGUCUGUGGUUUUGGGGGCUGAGUCACUGUGGUCCUUACGCUCUGAGCCAUCAGCAGUGGGUGACCAGGAAGAUGUCAGCAUCCCAUCAUUGUGUGGUUUUCAGAAACUAGGAAACACUGAAAUCUUGUUUAAUCUACAAAUGAAAACAAAAGAUUUUUACAUUUCUUUUUCUUCUGGAAGGUGUGUACAUGUGGGUGUGACUGUCCUCUUAUAUAAGGACACACACUCCUGGUAAUUCAAAUAGGUGUGGGGAGACUCAAGAAGGGUGUCCUCUUAAGAUCUAAGUGGAAUGAGUAGCAGUUGUCAGAUGCAGGUCAUCACCAAGGCAACCUAGGGGUGAAGUAAGUGAAAAUCUGCCUGCUGAUGGCUUCACAGGCCCAUCAGUUUACUCACUUCAGUUGAAGGAUGACCUGUGGCCUUAUCAGCCCUUAGUUUUUCCUCUUCAAAUACAGUAUUUUUAAUAACUUAUAUAAUUUUGUAUGGUGUUGAAAUGAAAAUUAUAGGCAUAAAAAUUAGAUCUAUAAAAAUUAUUUGGAAUUCUGCACAUCGGAUUUGUCUCUUCUCUCCUACUCUUUUAUUGACGUAUUUGUUUAAUCAUUUCUUUAGAUCACUAUGGACGCCUGGAUAUUGGUUUUAUACUUUGAGUUAUAAUCCAAUUCUGCUUGAUUUAUUUUCUUGCUCAAAUUGUUCCAGCUUUGGUCACUGCGAGCUUUUUCACGUGGUUCCUGUGUCCCUUUGAUAUAUCCCCACAACUGUGGAGUUUUUAGCUCUUGUUACUGUUGGGGUGUUUUUGAGCACUUCCUUACUUUCUGGCGCUACAAGAUGCUGCAGGCUCAUCUGGUGCAUUUCCUGCCCCGAUCCUAAAAUCAGCCAUUUCUCUAAGGAGUCUUAGGUCCUUUGACUGGAGAGUGAUAUUGGAAACCAUCUCUUGCUACUGGAGCAUUGGUGCUUUUAGGCCUUGUUUUGUUUUACACAAAACAAGGAAAUAUAUGUGUGUGUGCUAAGUAUAUGUACACAUAUCUAUAAAUGUUUUUAUAUGUAUUCAUUUGUAUCUUUAUUAAGCUAACCAUGAGUUCAUACUGAUGUCUCCAAUCCAGUACCGUGUGGAUCAUUCCAAUCCAGUACCACGUGGAUCAUUCCAAUCCAGUACCAUAUGGGUCAUUCCAUUCCAGUACCACAUGGAUCAUUCUAGCCUUCCCCUUUGCUCAUCUCUAACCUUCCACUCCAAAAGUGAGAUACUUGGCUCCCAACACCCACCGUCCAUUUACUUAUUGUUCAUUCCAGUGUACACAUGCAGGGGUUUCCAAAUGAGCCCAUACUCCUGUGGGACACAACUUAACAAGUAGAGCAUAGUGAGCACCGACAGUCCUUUUGUCUUUAGUCUUAUAGUCUCCACUUAUUUCCCAUGUUACUUAGAUCAGCAACUUCCCCUGCCUUCUUCGAUAAGAUUAUUUCAUACAUUUGUAAUACAGUUAGAUUAUUUUGUCAUACCUGAAUUCCAUCCUGGGAUCCCCCUAAUCUCCAAAAAAAUUUUUUAUUUGUAUAUGUUUUAAAAAAGGAAAUAAUGUUAGUGAUUAUAUAUCUCUUUUCGUAUCCCAGCGUGACUCCAAGGCAGACGAGCCCACUUGUUCACAAACCCUCUCAAAGUCAGCAGGGACUUUAAUGGUGCUUCUUGGACUUGGGACCAGGAAUUUUUUGCUGUAUUUUCCUUAAGAAGAUGCUUAGUCUUACAAAGGAAGAAGUGAAAGUUUCAAAACUUUAUUAAAAUAUGUUAGGGUAAAGUUGGUGUCCAUGUCACAACUCUGGAGUGACUUUCGCUUCUCCAUCUUUCUUCAGACACCUGCCUCGUUCUGCUCUCGGUCCAUGGUCCACUCCUUCCUUACUCUGUUACCACACUGAUUUUGCCGUAUCUUUUAUUUUAUCCCCUAAUAAAACUAUUUGACACCAAGUUGGCUAAAUAUGAACCUCAUUUGUUUCCUUAAAGUAAUACUCACAUAUGCUAAGUUCUCUCAUUUUCUGAUGACCAAGUGUGAAGAAAAUUGUAAUUAUUUUGGUCUUCUCUAUGCAGGGGUUAAAUGGAAUAAACUCAUCUUACUAGCAUAGAAAGUUUUGGAAGCUGUGCUUUUGAUCUAAGUAUUCUCAAUAAAAGCACCUUUUUAUCCUCCAAAAAAAAUUUUUCUUUGCAGCCAGUAAGGUUCACUGCGCUGUGAAGUUCUCCUCUUCACUCAGGGAGCUGGAGCACAACUCCCUGUCCUAUUAAGUAUGACCUGCAAACAGUGACUUCCUGCCAAAGAGAGUGGGAUGGGAGGAGUGGGGAGGAGCAUGAUUCUACAGUGGGAAACCUGACAAAGGGACCUCAGCCAUGCGAUAAGGGCAACACCAUCAGUCUGAAGCUAUAUUGAUGGUACAUAUCCUUGAUAUGAUAUGAUGAGAAUGAUGAUUUACCUCUGUGAUCUUCCUCCCCCAAAUCCAUAACCCCAGUCUAAUCAUGAGGAAAACAUCCAAAAAACCCCAAUGGAGGGACAGUCUACAAAAUAUCUGACCAAAUUGUCCUCCAGACUCUCAAAGUCAUGAAAAACAAGGAAUGUCUGAGAAACUGUCAUAGUCUUAAAUAGCCUAAGGAGAGAAGAUAACUAAAUGUAAUGUGGUAUCCUGUAUGGGAUCCUGGAACAGAAAAAGGACCCUAGGUAAAGCUAUGGAUAUCUGAAUACAGUAUGGACUUCAGUUAAUAAUAAUGUGUUAAUAUUGGUUCGUUAAUGGUAACAAAUGUACCAUACUGAUGUUAACAAUAUGGGAAGCUAGGUGUAGAGUGCAUGGGACCUAUCUUCUUUUUUUUUCUCCCCAAAUCGCCCCCGUACAUAGUUGUAUAUUUUAGUUGUGGGUCCUUCUAGUUGUGGCGUGUGGGACGCCGCCUCAGCACCGCCUGAUGAGCGGUGCCAUGUCCGCCCAGGAUCUGAACCAGCGAAACCCUGGGCUGCUGAAGCAGAGCGUGCAAACUUAACCACUCAGUCACGGGGCCUGCCCCUGGACUUAUCUUUUUAACUUUUCUAUAACUCUAAAAAUCUUCUAAAAUAAAAUGUUUAUUUUAAAAAACAAAAAAUAAAACAAAAAAUAGAUCUAAUGCCUUAAGGAAAAAAGGACUUGCAAACUUGAGAGAAAGAGACUGCUGGGGAUUUUGCUUCAUUUGGUUUAUAAAAUAUAUUUUUCCUACUAAGAAAUCUUGUAGGGUUUUUUGACUUGGUUUUUUUAAAUUUAAAAGUAGGGCACUGCCUACGAAUGUAGCAAGUAGGAAUGGCCCAGAGGAACUCAUCUCUGAAGAUGCGUUUAGAUUGGGUUUCUUGUGUUGAGAAUGAACUGAUGACCCAAAAACCUUAUUUCCAACACUAACCAGCAUCUAUUAAACAGAAAAUUGUUUUAUUCUGGAACACUGUCUGGGUCCCAUAGUCAGUAAUUGGGGUGUAAGUUCACAUCCACUUCUUUUGGUGUGAUUGCUUUAGAACACAUUAGACUAUGAUUUUUUGAGGGAAAACUGUGGAGUACUCAACUCUAUUGUGUGCUCAAAACCUACACAAAAGGGUUUUUUUCCUUGUUGUGAUAAAAUAUACAAAUUUGCCAUUUUAACCAUUGUUAAGUAUACAAGUCAGGGACAUUAAUUACAUUCACAAUGUAGUGAAACCAUCACCACUAUCUAUUUCCAAAAAUUUUCCAUUAGAACAGAAACUCUGUAUCCAUUACACAGUAACUUCCCAUUCCUCCCUUCUCUCAGCCCCUGGUAACCCCUGAUCUACUGUCUGUCUCUAUGAAUUUGCCUGUCCUCGUCACUUUGUGUAAGUGGAGUCGUACAGUAUUUGUGCUUUUGUGUCUAGCUUAUUUCACUUAGCCAAAUGCUUUCAAGGUUUAUCCACGUUGUAGCGUGUGUCAGAGCUUCAUGCCUUUUUAUGGCUGAAAAAUAUUCUAUUGCAUGUAUAUCCUGCAUCUUGUUUAUCCAUUCAUGUGUUGGUGGACACGUGGGUUAUUCCCAUCUUUUGGCUAUUCUAUACAAUAGGUAUUAUAAGUGUAGGUCUUUUUAAAGAGAAAAAAAAGUUGUUGAACAUUCCUGGAAUGUAAAACUUGGCUCAAACAUAGUUAGCAUCAGUGCCUACCAUUUGAUGCUAAAUGAUAAGGAAAUGCUCUAGAAAUGAAUCAGUGAAUGUUGUGUCACAGGCAUCAUCAGAGGUGGCUCUUGAAGUCCCAAGCCAAGGUCACAGCUGAAUGGUAGCAUUCUUCUAGAAAGGCUUGCUUCCUUUGUUUGUUCAUUUAUGUUUGGUUUUGUUUUCACACAAAUCCUUUAAAUACUAUGCCCUUGUCUUGCUCCCUUUUCUUUCUCGCUUUUGUCAUGACUAUAUUCUCAUUAAUAAACUCGGCUAAUUCACAUUUCAACUGAUGUAUGUUGAUUAUUAACUAGCUUACAAACCACCAGCAUAGUUUAUAAAUCGAAUUCUCCUGGCUGGCAUAAUUAACCAGGCUGUACAUACGACGGGAACACGAGCUUGAGGAGUUGCCAUUGGUGGAAUUUACCUGUGGAAUUUGCGUACCCAAAAUGCACCUCCUCUUUCCCUAAAGUAGAUUUGCAGGAUUCUCUCUCGUUAGCAAUAUUACUAUUUACCUAGUCACCAAGGAAUUACUCCUGACUCCUUCCUCUUUCUUCCUCCCUACCAUAACUGCUUCAGAUUUUGCCUUGUGUCCGUAUUUAUCAACUCAUCUCCUACUCUCUCGUCCUCUAGCCCUGCUUGCACAGUUAUGACGGAAGCCCUCAUUGCUCCUGGAAUACUUCCUGGAGACUCAGACAAGAAGGGUCACUCCCCCGGGUGCUGUGCUAUGGAGGGACCAGCAAAUCAGAAACACAAAAAAUUGUUGAAGGACACGCGGUGACUCUGUUCAGCAGGACGUGGUGCUCAGCACUGAAUAGUCAACCCAGAACCCCAGACGUCCACUCUCAUGACUGACAGUGUUCAAGCCCCAGGGAAACGCUUCCCCGAAUCUCUUCUGCACACCUCUUCCCUAGAUCCCCAAACAAAAGGCAACUCCCCGAGAGCUACUAAACUUGGGGCUUGUGUCAUUACUCAUGUAUGAGAAAAACACAACUUCCUUCACAUUGCCGAGGAAUUUCAGUGGGCAAGGGUUAAGGAAAGACAUAUGAAGAAGCUUGCUAUUCUGGGCUGAGUUGUGUCUUCCCAAAAUUCCUAUGUUGAAGACUAGUGCUUCAGAAUGUGACUGUAUUUGGAGACAAAGUCUUUAAAGAGGUAAUUAAGUUAAAAUGAGGUCACUGGUGGGCCCUAAUCCAGUACAAUCGGUGUCCCUAGAAGAAGAAAAGAUGAGGACACAGAUACACACAGAGGGAAGACUGUGAAGACAUGGGGAGAAGAUGGUUGUCCACGAGCAAGGAGAGAGGCCUCAGAGGGAACCAGCUCUGCUAAGACCUUAAUCUUGGACUUCUGGCCUCCAGAACUGUGAGGAAAUAAAUUUCUGUUGUUGAAGCCCCCAGUCUGCGGCAUUUUGCUGCGGCGGCUCCAGCAAGCCGACACACUUGCCGAAGUUCUUCCCCUCACACACUUCCCAGUACUGCCCUUUUCUUUCUUCUCUUUGCAUUCCAAUUUACGGUUCCUGUAGCACCUUCAGAUGCUGGCCCUCGGCCUGUACUUUAAAGGGCUCUACCCUGGUCCUCCCUUGACUGUGCCCUUCCUCGCAGGCCUAGGACAGAGGGCCCAGGUGUGCCCACCUGAAGCUUGCGUCUCCUCCCACCCCAGAAUUCCCUGUUCAAAUAGCCCUGAGCCCAUUACCAGCGACCGUGGUGGCCUCCUUCUCGCCCUGCUGCACACCCUUAAGCUGGAGAGCUGCCCAAGGGUUGCCAUCUAUAGUCAGAUCUUGGACAUGUAGACUACAGUAUAUACAUGCAAGUGUGCAAGACCCACGUGGGCUGGGCUGGAGCUGGAAGGUGGCAAGAGAAGGGGUGAAGUGUGGGGCUGGAGGCUGGAGUGCUGUGACUUUCUGACAUGGUUCUUCGAGAAGCUUAAUUUGAACUUGACCUUCCAUGUCCUUAUGAAGGUAUAUUCAGGGGCUGGCCCGAUGGCAUAGAGGUUAAGUUCACGUGCUCCACUUUGGGCCUGGGGUUCACCGGUUUGGAUCGCAGGAGUGGAUCUAGCACACUUGUCAAGCCACACUGCAGCGGCAUCCCACAUAAAGUAGAGGAAGAUGUGCACAGAUGUUUGCCCAGUGACAAUCUUUCUCAAGCAAAAGGAGGAAGAUGGGAAGAUGUUAGCUCAGGGCCAAUCUUCCUCCCCCGAAGAAAACCCAGAAGGUAUAUUCAUCAAGAUCAGGGAAUAGAACACAUUUUAUUUUAUGCUUUGUUAGUGUGAUUUACAACCUUUAUAUAUUUAGACACGUGCUACAUGGGUCUUCACAUCUUGCUUCAAACCCCACAAAUGCUAGGAGUACGCUUGGUGGUUCUGGAAGACUCAUGAAUUACAGCAAUAUUUGCCACUGCUGCAUGUGGAGACUGGCGAAUGUUUCACAAUAUUAAAGAAUUCACAUUACUCUUAAAUUUGUAUACGUAUAUAGGUCUAGACAUAACGUGUGAUAUCAACUUUAAUAUUAGCAAUGAGGAGGAUAUUAAAAUUAAAAUUGUAAAUACUUGUGUUUUUAUAAACAUUUAAUAUGAGUUCAUUAAAUAUUUUAAAACCUCAACAAAAAUUUUAGUUGGUUUAAAUAAUUUUGAUUUUAAC